Molecule: non-coding RNA, 88 nt
Organism: Sclerotinia nivalis
Lineage: Eukaryota; Fungi; Ascomycota; Leotiomycetes; Helotiales; Sclerotiniaceae
Source: the annotation of a GenBank genome assembly
GGCCUGAUAGUUCAGUGGUAGAAUUCUUGCUUUGGGUUGUCAAAAUCUAAAUUGUAAGAGGUCUCCGGUUCGAUCCCGGAUUAGGCCC